UUAAGCGACUAAGCGUACACGGUGGAUGCCCUGGCAGUCAGAGGCGAUGAAGGACGUGCUAAUCUGCGAUAAGCGCCGGUAAGGUGAUAUGAACCGUUAUAACCGGCGAUUUCCGAAUGGGGAAACCCAGUGUGACUCGUCACACUAUCAUUAACUGAAUCCAUAGGUUAAUGAGGCGAACCGGGGGAACUGAAACAUCUAAGUACCCCGAGGAAAAGAAAUCAACCGAGAUUCCCCCAGUAGCGGCGAGCGAACGGGGAGGAGCCCAGAGCCUGAAUCAGCAUGUGUGUUAGUGGAAGCGUCUGGAAAGGCGCGCGAUACAGGGUGACAGCCCCGUACACAAAAGCGCAUGUGCUGUGAGCUCGAUGAGUAGGGCGGGACACGUGGUAUCCUGUCUGAAUAUGGGGGGACCAUCCUCCAAGGCUAAAUACUCCUGACUGACCGAUAGUGAACCAGUACCGUGAGGGAAAGGCGAAAAGAACCCCGGCGAGGGGAGUGAAAAAGAACCUGAAACCGUGUACGUACAAGCAGUGGGAGCACCCUUUGGGGUGUGACUGCGUACCUUUUGUAUAAUGGGUCAGCGACUUAUAUUCUGUAGCAAGGUUAACCGAAUAGGGGAGCCGGAGGGAAACCGAGUCUUAACCGGGCGUUAAGUUGCAGGGUAUAGACCCGAAACCCGGUGAUCUAGCCAUGGGCAGGUUGAAGGUUGGGUAACACUAACUGGAGGACCGAACCGACUAAUGUUGAAAAAUUAGCGGAUGACCUGUGGCUGGGGGUGAAAGGCCAAUCAAACCGGGAGAUAGCUGGUUCUCCCCGAAAGCUAUUUAGGUAGCGCCUCGUGAAUUCAUCUCCGGGGGUAGAGCACUGUUUCGGCUAGGGGGCCAUCCCGGCUUACCAACCCGAUGCAAACUGCGAAUACCGGAGAAUGUUAUCACGGGAGACACACGGCGGGUGCUAACGUCCGUCGUGAAGAGGGAAACAACCCAGACCGCCAGCUAAGGUCCCAAAGUCAUGGUUAAGUGGGAAACGAUGUGGGAAGGCCCAGACAGCCAGGAUGUUGGCUUAGAAGCAGCCAUCAUUUAAAGAAAGCGUAAUAGCUCACUGGUCGAGUCGGCCUGCGCGGAAGAUGUAACGGGGCUAAACCAUGCACCGAAGCUGCGGCAGCGACGCUGAUGCGUUGUUGGGUAGGGGAGCGUUCUGUAAGCCUGUGAAGGUGGCCUGUGAGGGUUGCUGGAGGUAUCAGAAGUGCGAAUGCUGACAUAAGUAACGAUAAAGCGGGUGAAAAGCCCGCUCGCCGGAAGACCAAGGGUUCCUGUCCAACGUUAAUCGGGGCAGGGUGAGUCGACCCCUAAGGCGAGGCCGAAAGGCGUAGUCGAUGGGAAACGGGUUAAUAUUCCCGUACUUGGUGUUACUGCGAAGGGGGGACGGAGAAGGCUAUGUUGGCCGGGCGACGGUUGUCCCGGUUUAAGCGUGUAGGUGUGUGUUCCAGGUAAAUCCGGUUCACUUUAACACUGAGGCGUGAUGACGAGGCACUACGGUGCUGAAGCAACAAAUGCCCUGCUUCCAGGAAAAGCCUCUAAGCAUCAGGUAACAUCAAAUCGUACCCCAAACCGACACAGGUGGUCAGGUAGAGAAUACCAAGGCGCUUGAGAGAACUCGGGUGAAGGAACUAGGCAAAAUGGUGCCGUAACUUCGGGAGAAGGCACGCUGACACGUAGGUGAAGUGAUUUACUCAUGGAGCUGAAGUCAGUCGAAGAUACCAGCUGGCUGCAACUGUUUAUUAAAAACACAGCACUGUGCAAACACGAAAGUGGACGUAUACGGUGUGACGCCUGCCCGGUGCCGGAAGGUUAAUUGAUGGGGUCAGCGCAAGCGAAGCUCCUGAUCGAAGCCCCGGUAAACGGCGGCCGUAACUAUAACGGUCCUAAGGUAGCGAAAUUCCUUGUCGGGUAAGUUCCGACCUGCACGAAUGGCGUAAUGAUGGCCAGGCUGUCUCCACCCGAGACUCAGUGAAAUUGAACUCGCUGUGAAGAUGCAGUGUACCCGCGGCAAGACGGAAAGACCCCGUGAACCUUUACUAUAGCUUGACACUGAACAUUGAGCCUUGAUGUGUAGGAUAGGUGGGAGGCUUUGAAGUGUGGACGCCAGUCUGCAUGGAGCCGGCCUUGAAAUACCACCCUUUAAUGUUUGAUGUUCUAACGUGGACCCGUGAUCCGGGUUGCGGACAGUGUCUGGUGGGUAGUUUGACUGGGGCGGUCUCCUCCUAAAGAGUAACGGAGGAGCACGAAGGUUGGCUAAUCCUGGUCGGACAUCAGGAGGUUAGUGCAAUGGCAUAAGCCAGCUUGACUGCGAGCGUGACGGCGCGAGCAGGUGCGAAAGCAGGUCAUAGUGAUCCGGUGGUUCUGAAUGGAAGGGCCAUCGCUCAACGGAUAAAAGGUACUCCGGGGAUAACAGGCUGAUACCGCCCAAGAGUUCAUAUCGACGGCGGUGUUUGGCACCUCGAUGUCGGCUCAUCACAUCCUGGGGCUGAAGUAGGUCCCAAGGGUAUGGCUGUUCGCCAUUUAAAGUGGUACGCGAGCUGGGUUUAGAACGUCGUGAGACAGUUCGGUCCCUAUCUGCCGUGGGCGCUGGAGAACUGAGGGGGGCUGCUCCUAGUACGAGAGGACCGGAGUGGACGCAUCACUGGUGUUCGGGUUGUCAUGCCAAUGGCACUGCCCGGUAGCUAAAUGCGGAAGAGAUAAGUGCUGAAAGCAUCUAAGCACGAAACUUGCCCCGAGAUGAGUUCUCCCUGAGACUUAGAGUCUCCUGAAGGAACGUUGAAGACGACGACGUUGAUAGGCCGGGUGUGUAAGCGCAGCGAUGCGUUGAGCUAACCGGUACUAAUGAACCGUGAGGCUUAACCUU
RNAcentral lists this ribosomal RNA (2904 nucleotides) under Salmonella enterica subsp. enterica serovar Javiana. Its description in RNAcentral is "bacterial LSU rRNA". It matches the Rfam family "Bacterial large subunit ribosomal RNA". Lineage: Bacteria; Pseudomonadati; Pseudomonadota; Gammaproteobacteria; Enterobacterales; Enterobacteriaceae. The record is from RNAcentral.